GCCUAAAAUCUAGCCCACACUUCCCACUAAUGUUAACCCACUAACCACUGUUUUUAACUAAAUCAUUCUACAAACUUAGUAAAGGAGAUUAAAAAGUUUAUAGGAGCUAUAUAGCUAGUACCGCAAGGGAAAAAUGAAAUAGAAAUGAAAUAGAAUAAAAGCACAAAAAAGUAAAGAUUAACCCUUGUACCUUUUGCAUCAUGGUUUAACUAGUUCAACCAAGCAAAAAGAAUUUUAGUUUGACAUCCCGAAACUAAGCGAGCUACUUCAAGGCAGCUUAAUGAGCUAACCCGUCUCUGUUGCAAAAGAGUGGGAAGACCUUCAAGUAGGGGUGACAGACCUACCGAGCUUAGUGAUAGCUGGUUACUCAAGAAAAGAAUUUUAGUCCAACCUGAAAUUAUACUAAUAAAACAAAAUACAAAUCUUAACUUCAGAGCAACUCAAAUAAGGUACAGCCUAUUUGAAUCAGGAUACAACCUAAACAAAAGGGUAACCUAAUAAUAAGACAGAACUAAGUGGGCCUAAGAGCAGCCACCUUUUAAAUAGCGUCAAAGCUUAAUUUUACUCUUACUUAAUGCCUCUACUAAUAUUGAACCCUUAAUUAGUAUUGAGUAAUUCUAUAAAAUUAUAGAAGUUUUUAUGUUAAAACUAGUAACAAGAAGAAGACCUUCUCCUAUAUGUGUGUGUAAAUCGGAAAGGACAAACCACCGAUAACUAACGUCCAUGAACUUAAGUAGCAAAUAUUGCAAGAAAACUCUACUUACACAUACGUUAAUCUUACACAAGAACAUAAAAAGAAAGAUUGAAAGGAAAAGAAGGAACUCGGCAAAUUUUAACCUCGCCUGUUUACCAAAAACAUCGCCUCUUGCAAAAAUAUAAGAGGUCCAGCCUGCCCAGUGACCCUGUUCAACGGCCGCGGUAUCCUAACCGUGCGAAGGUAGCGUAAUCACUUGUUCUUUAAAUGAGGACUAGUAUGAAUGGCACCACGAAGGUUAUACUGUCUCCUUUUCCUAAUCAGUGAAACUAAUCUUCCCGUGAAGAAGCGGGAAUAAUUUUAUAAGACGAGAAGACCCUAUGGAGCUUUAAACUACGCAUCAACUGCUUUACUAAACUCUAAUUCUCAUGAAUACUAACUUUUAACCCAGCAUAAUGACUGCAAGUUUUCGGUUGGGGUGACCACGGAGCAAAAACCAACCUCCAUAUUGAAAAGAACUAUCUUCUUUAGCUACGAGCUACAUCUCUAAGCAUCAAUAAUUUGACAUCCAUUGACCCAAUCUAUUGAUCAACGAACCAAGUUACCCUAGGGAUAACAGCGCAAUCCACUUCAAGAGCUCAUAUCGACAAGUGGGUUUACGACCUCGAUGUUGGAUCAGGGUAUCCCAGUGGUGCAGCCGCUACUAAAGGUUCGUUUGUUCAACGAUUAAAACCCU
Molecule: ribosomal RNA, 1430 nt
Filed under: Pleurodema brachyops (Colombian four-eyed frog)
Lineage: Eukaryota; Metazoa; Chordata; Amphibia; Anura; Leptodactylidae
Description: partial 16S ribosomal RNA
Rfam family: Bacterial large subunit ribosomal RNA
Source: RNAcentral